UACCAGCACCCCGAGUGGUCGGGACGUUUAUUGGGCCUAAAGCAUCCGUAGCCGGUUCUACAAGUCUUCCGUUAAAUCCACCUGCUUAACAGAUGGGCUGCGGAAGAUACUAUAGAGCUAGGAGGCGGGAGAGGCAAGCGGUACUCGAUGGGUAGGGGUAAAAUCCGUAGAUAUGAGAUGGAACACCAGAGGCGAAGGCGCCUUCCUGGACGACUAUUGACGCUGAGGCGCGAAAGCGUGGGGAGCAAACAGG
This 253-nucleotide ribosomal RNA is filed under the name uncultured bacterium. RNAcentral's name for it is "partial 16S ribosomal RNA". The stretch from base 27 to 253 matches the Rfam family "Bacterial small subunit ribosomal RNA", at positions 550 to 776 of the family's 1533-position model. The record is from RNAcentral.